Molecule: ribosomal RNA, 1308 nt
Filed under: Triticum aestivum (bread wheat)
Lineage: Eukaryota; Viridiplantae; Streptophyta; Magnoliopsida; Poales; Poaceae
Description: partial small subunit ribosomal RNA
Source: RNAcentral
AUGGAGAAAAAUUACUUGAGGAGGUUAACAUUGGACUGGGAUAGUAAGCGAUCUAGUGUUGAGCCUGGUGUGGAAGCAACGGUUCUUGAGGGCCUUCAACCACAUGGAGAUCUUCAAGUGUUGUGCAUUAGAGGGCACAUAGGUCCUUCUUGUCCAACAUGGCUGGGUGAUGAGUUCGCAGUUGAAGGUCUACAAUCUCUUUAUCUGGAUGGUGUUUCUUGGGAACUUUUCCCUUCUUUAGGGAAGGCAUGGGAUCUUCGUGAAUUAAGGUUUGAGCAUAUUGACAGACUGAAGGAGUUUAUCAUAGAGAAAAGCUUUUGCGUGCUAACAAAGCUUAAACUCAUUGGCCUAGGAAGUUUUGAAAAUUGGGUUUACACAGGUGAACAAGAGUCUUCCAUUAGUGGAGAAUUGUUGCCACCGGAUGCUCAUAUGUUCCCUCUUUUGCAAGUUCUGGUUAUUAGAGAGUGCCCGAAACUAUUGGGGUUGCCUUUCUCAAACCACAUUGUUUCCCCAGAUUGGUUCCCCAAGCUACAAGAGCUUGAGGUACAUCACUGUCUUGAAUUCUUGCCAGUGAUCCCCAUAUCCUGGAUCAAAAGCCUGCGUUCUAUGAAGAUGAAAUAUGUAAAGAUGCUAAAGGAGUUUGUGCACUCAAAAUCAUCCGAUGGAGUUGAAUUGAAAAUUAUUGGAGAGGGUGAUCUGCAUAGCUUAGACCAAGUGCUGGUUUUUGAUAAAGAAACAAGUCUUGAGAAGCUGACACUUGAGAGGUGCCCACCUCUGGAGUUGAAGCACCUUCUGAUGCUAACCUCGCUGAGGACAUUGAUUGUAGAAAAUUCAGUUGGUCUAGUUGGACCACUAGGAAGAGGUCAGAGUGAUGUGGAAUGGCAGCUCCAUGUUGAGUGUAUCAAGAUCGAUGGCUUAACUGGUAAUACUGGCGAGGAACUGACAGAGCUCCUUCCCCACCUCCCAAAGCUCUCCAAAUUGGAAAUACGGAAGUGUAAAAACAUAAAAAAGCUGGUAGCGGGGGUGGAUGUGCAACAAACAACGUUAGAAGCAUCAGAGAUAACAGCAGCAGCAGAGGAAGAGGAUGAUGGGGUGCUGCUCUUCCCCGCUCAUCUCCGUGACUCACUACGGGAGUUGGUGAUCUUUAAAUGCCCAGAGCUGGUCCUGGUGGACCCGCCAACUCUUGUUCCUGGAGAAGGAUGGCUACAAGCCUUGCAAUCCCUCCAGAGAUUAACAAUACAGUGGUCCCCAAAGUUUCUAUCCACCUUCUCCUUUUCCUGUCACAUUUUCCCUUCCUCCCUGAACUAA